Molecule: transfer RNA, 76 nt
Filed under: uncultured archaeon
Lineage: Archaea
Description: tRNA-Val(cac)
Rfam family: tRNA
About the family: Transfer RNA (tRNA) molecules are approximately 80 nucleotides in length. Their secondary structure includes four short double-helical elements and three loops (D, anti-codon, and T loops).
Source: RNAcentral
UGGAUCCGUGGUGGAAUGGUUAACACGCCGCUCUCACACAGCGGAGACUGAGCGUUCGAUUCGCUCCGGAUCCAUC